UCUGAAAUCAAGUGGGAUUACCCGCUGAACUUAACAU
Molecule: ribosomal RNA, 37 nt
Filed under: Pilobolus kleinii
Lineage: Eukaryota; Fungi; Mucoromycota; Mucoromycetes; Mucorales; Pilobolaceae
Description: partial 28S ribosomal RNA
Source: RNAcentral